Molecule: long non-coding RNA, 1792 nt
Organism: Motacilla alba alba
Lineage: Eukaryota; Metazoa; Chordata; Aves; Passeriformes; Motacillidae
Exons: 3
Source: RefSeq, a predicted model, not a curated record
AAAUGGGGGCUCCCGGGGCGGAGAGGCGUUGGGAAUGGGAAAUGGGGGAUCCUGGAAAGGUUUGAACAGCAACUGGUGGUGUGGGCAGACUCAUAAAGUCACUUAGGUUGGAAAAGACUUCUGAGGUCAUUGAGUCCAACCUAUGGCACGCACCACCUGUUCAAUAGACCAUGGCAUCAGUGCCACAUCCAGUUUCUUCUUAAACAGCUCCAGGGACGGUACCCUCCACCUCCCCUGGCAGCCCAUUUCCAUAUCUAUUUGUACUCUCAGUGAAGAAAUUCCUUCCAACACCCACAAUAAACCUCUCCUGGCACAGCUGAGAGUUGUGUCCUCUUGUGCUAUCUCUGAUUGCCUGGGAGAAGACACCAACCCCCAGGCAGGAGGAGAAGGUCCAGGUUUCAGCCCCAUGGUAGCAGGUGCUCAGGGGGUGCCAUGCUGGGGCCCGGGCACCCCACAGGUGCUGGGGGAGGUUGUGGGAAGCUCGGUCUAAUAUCAGUGACAGAAAUGUGUGAAGUGAUUUGUGCUGUAGAAGAUUGGACGUGGAAUGGCAUCAGUGGGAGAAAAAUAAGUAGAUUGAAAGUUUCUUACCUUCAGACUAAGAAAUGGUGAAGAAUGUCAUCCAGCAACGUGACAUUGUGACAUUGCAGCUACACUGGGAUUUGGGAUGAUGACCUGCUAGGAUUGCCUCUGGGCUAGUGGUUAUUCUUUGGUAACAUUUAAAGAUACAAUUUCUUCAUGUCCAGCACAGUGUACUUCAUCUCAGUUAUAAUGAACAAGGAAAAGCUGAUCAUUGAUGGGAAAAUCACAGGUGUUGAGAUACCCCUACGUCAGUCAUGCAGGAAGUCAGGAUUCUUUCUUCAGAGAAUUUUGGAUUAAGCCUUUUUGCAAGUCUGCAAAUCUUAUCAAACAGUACAUUCAAGGAGUCAAAGGACAGGAUAGAUUGAGAAAGCAGCUGGAGAAAGCAAAACUGAGGAGAACAAAGGAGCUUGGAGCGCUGCUUGCCCCAGCCAUCAAACUGUUACAGAAACAGAACAGCAGAACAGUAGCUCACAGGAUCUGAGCAGCCACCUGAUUUUGAAAAGCUCCAUGAGAAAAAUUCAAAAUUGCUUUCCUUCCCUCUCACUGAGCCUGGUUCUUGCUUAUAUGUUUAGUUAUUCCUUUCUCAAAAAAAAAAAAAAAAAAAAAAAAAAGGAAGUGUAGUCUUCUAGCUGGAUUUAUUUACUUUCAUUUUAAAGGAGACAUUGUUUGGCAAUUUUAUUUUUCAACAGGAAAUGGUAAAUGUGCUGAUUUGUUUAAUGAAGUUGAGAUUCACUGUAGGAGUCCAAAUUCCUUUUUUGUUUUAUUCUCUGUAGAACUGAAUGUCUUAUGUAGAUAAAAUCUCAAUAAAGAUAAACCAUUCGAGCAGAUGUGAGUAAAGAGCUGAGAAUUUCUGGGCUAGCGUAGAGAAAAAUGCCUCACCGAGUCAGUGGUGCUUUAUGCUGCUUAACAGUGGUGUGGGACCUUAAUUUUUGAUCUUGUGAACAUAUUGGAAGAAAUAAUAGGAAGAGAAGGUUGGAUUUUGAAAUAAAAUAAUUUUAUUUUUGAAUGUUGGGCAUCUAAAUGAUAAACAGCAUAAGCACUUGAGCACACUUGCUUCUGACCUUGGUAAAAUUCCUGAAUGCUAAAUACUUGUGAAAGUCAGGACAGUGCAAAUGUUCAUGUAGGAACAUUAUUUCUGUUAUCUACUUUUGAAAUAGUUGUCAUGUUGUGACUUGAUAAAAUCACACUGAUCUAUUAAAACAUGUUUCUUUUG